CAAUGAAGAAAGAAUGAUAAUGUGCACAUAAAUUGAUUUGGAUUUCUAAGUAUGUCUUCUUUGAUACCAUUUGAUUUUGAUUUAGGAGCAUGGUUCCGGAGUAAAAUA
This is a small nucleolar RNA of Rhododendron vialii, 108 nucleotides long. RefSeq annotates it as small nucleolar RNA snoR100. The record is from RefSeq and is a predicted model, not a curated record. NCBI's taxonomy places the organism in Eukaryota, Viridiplantae, Streptophyta, Magnoliopsida, Ericales, Ericaceae. The transcript has a single exon.